This 484-nucleotide ribosomal RNA is filed under the name uncultured bacterium. Its description in RNAcentral is "partial 16S ribosomal RNA". It matches the Rfam family "Bacterial small subunit ribosomal RNA", at positions 29 to 507 of the family's 1533-position model. The record is from RNAcentral.
AUUGAACGCUGGCGGCAUGCUUUACACAUGCAAGUCGAACGGCAGCGCGGGCUUCGGCCUGGCGGCGAGUGGCGAACGGGUGAGUAAUACAUCGGAACGUGCCCAGUAGUGGGGGAUAGCUCGGCGAAAGCCGGAUUAAUACCGCAUCCGACCUGAGGGGGAAAGCGGGGGAUCUUCGGACCUCGCGCUAUUGGAGCGGCCGAUGGCAGAUUAGCUAGUUGGUGGGGUAAAGGCCUACCAAGGCGACGAUCUGUAGCUGGUCUGAGAGGACGACCAGCCACACUGGGACUGAGACACGGCCCAGACUCCUACGGGAGGCAGCAGUGGGGAAUUUUGGACAAUGGGCGAAAGCCUGAUCCAGCAAUGCCGCGUGUGUGAUGAAGGCCUUCGGGUUGUAAAGCACUUUUGGCGGGAACGAAAAGGACUGUGCCAAUACCACGGUUCGAUGACGGUACCCGCAGAAUAAGCACCGGCUAACUACGUG